CCUCCCUGCAGCCAAACAAGGGGGCGGGACUUCCUGCUUUCAGCUCUGACGGAUGCAGGAGUUCCUGUUGUAGUCUCUAGAGGGGUGGGACUUCCUCUUGGUGGCUAUACAUCAAACAGGACUUCCUGUUUCAGGCUCUCAUGGAUGCGGGAGUUCCUGUUUUAGUCUCUAGAGGGGCGGGACUUCCUCUCCAGUUAUACAAGAGAGCGGGACUUCCUGCUUUGAGCUGUCACAGAUGCAAGACUUCCAGUUUUAAUCUCUAGAGGUGGCGGGACUUCCUCUCUGUGGCAAUACAUCAGGCGGGACUUCCUGUUUCGGGCUCUGAAGGGGCGGGACUUCCUGUGCUCCCACCUGCAGGUGAUCGUGGGGGCGGACGGUUCCUGCGGGCUCCUCUACGACCCGGAAGUCCUCGACGGCGCCAUCGCCGCCGAGAUGGCCGACCACGCGCUCGCCUUCUGCCGAAGCCCCGCCCCUGAGCCCGCCCCCGGGAUGGCGGUGCCCCGCCCCCAGCGCCUCCGCUUCUGCAUCGGGCCGGAAGUGGGACCGGAAGUGCAGAGAGCGCGGAGACACCUGGACAGGUGAUUAAUUAAGAGGCUCUAAUUGGUCAUUAGUGCCGGCGGAUGGGGUUAAUUGGGGGGUGGCGGCAGGGAAUUGGGGGUUCAUUGGGGGUAAGCGGGGCGGUAAGCGGGGAAAUGGGAAACGUGGGGUUAAUAGGUGUUAAUUGGGAACGGGUGGGUCCUGGUUGGGGUUAAUUGGGUGUUAAUUGGAGUUAACGUGGGGUGGGCAAGAAGGAACUGGCGUUGUGUAGUACUGUAAUUGGGAAUGGGAGACCAGUGGGUGUUAAUUAGCGUUAAUUAUAGGUUGUUGGGGGGUUAAUUUGCGGUUAAUUGGGCCUAAUGAGUCACGAUUUGGGAUUAAUUGAUGUUAAUUGUAUGGUUGGCCGGAAAAGGAAGCUUUGCUUGGAAUUAGGAAGCGUUAAUGAGGCUUGAUUGAGGUUAUUUAGGAUUAAUUAGAUCAGAUGCGAUGUCGUUGGGGCUUAUUGGGAGUAAUUGAUAGAAUAAUUGGGAUGCUAAUUGAGAGUGCUGAGUGUUAA
RNAcentral lists this long non-coding RNA (1093 nucleotides) under Numida meleagris (helmeted guineafowl). Its description in RNAcentral is "lncRNA (ENSNMEG00000002246.1)". The record is from RNAcentral. Lineage: Eukaryota; Metazoa; Chordata; Aves; Galliformes; Numididae.